UACGGAGGGUGCAAGCGUUAUUCGGAAUUAUUGGGCGUAAAGGGCGCGUAGGCGGCCUUGUAAGUUUGGUGUGAAAUCCCUGGGCUCAACCCAGGAAGUGCAUUGAAUACUGCAAGGCUAGAGUGUUGGAGAGGUGGGUGGAAUUCCAGGUGUAGAGGUGAAAUUCGUAGAUAUCUGGAGGAACAUCAGUGGCGAAGGCGGCCCACUGGACAACAACUGACGCUGAGGCGCGAAAGCGUGGGGAGCAAACAGG
This 253-nucleotide ribosomal RNA is filed under the name uncultured bacterium. RNAcentral's name for it is "partial 16S ribosomal RNA". It matches the Rfam family "Bacterial small subunit ribosomal RNA", at positions 524 to 776 of the family's 1533-position model. The record is from RNAcentral.